AACCCACGGGUCACACCUGAGGGUCCAGCACGCGGCUGGUGUCACCACCCCUGAGAUUCAGCGCCCCCCUACCACAGGGCCGGCAUGGUAGGAAGCGUUUGAUGUGUUGCAUGAUGGCUGCCGGUCAGAGUGCUUCUGAUUAGCCAUGGCGGGCUUCUGCUUCCUCUCCCCUUCCCCCAUCUCCUUUAAUGUCUUGCAGGUGAGUUCCAGCGACCCUCGGGGUUACCACAAACACACGUGCAGGCAGCAGCCAGAAAUGCGAGAGGGUUAAUUCUGGAGAGGGUGACAGCUACCUGAUUUGAUAAUGGAUGAAGGGGUACCACCUGGAACAGUCCGAGCUCCUGGACAAUGUCGAGAAGAGCGCUGAGGAGGAGCUGAUCAUUGGAGGAGCUCUGGAAGCACCUUUUUCCAGUCGGAGAUCAAAGGCACCGCCAGACCAGCCACGCCACAGGAAUCUCAGAAUGUGCCCUGCUUUUGUUUGCCGUUGCUAGGAGAGCUGUGGACAGCCCAAACUGCUCUGCAGCACAAGAUCAAAAACAUUUUCAAAAUAAAUUUAGUGAUUUUCAAAGGGCA
Molecule: long non-coding RNA, 573 nt
Filed under: Scleropages formosus (Asian bonytongue)
Lineage: Eukaryota; Metazoa; Chordata; Actinopteri; Osteoglossiformes; Osteoglossidae
Description: lncRNA (ENSSFOG00015024943.1)
Source: RNAcentral